This is a long non-coding RNA of Cyclopterus lumpus (lumpfish), 1724 nucleotides long. RefSeq lists it as uncharacterized. The record is from RefSeq and is a predicted model, not a curated record. NCBI's taxonomy places the organism in Eukaryota, Metazoa, Chordata, Actinopteri, Perciformes, Cyclopteridae. The transcript is spliced from 4 exons.
CCAAAGUAGCGGAAGUAGUGUGAGUGUUUCCGGGUCGCACACUUAGCAGGUCAGCUAAGUGGAAAUGAAGACACAAACACGGCGUACUUUUCUUUAGUCUUCUUCGACUCCAUCUGUAGAACAUGUCCACAUUGCAGGAUGCUCAACAUGAAUCCAGACGGCGGCUCGCGGACCUCUGAUUGGACGUUUGGAGACAUCCGGAUAUGAAAAGGAGCAAAGUGCUGGAUGUUGUUUUAAAGGCCGACAUGGAGCUGCGGAGAGAAGCAGACGUCCAGCAGCUGUUGAUGGUUAAAGAGGAGGUUCCUCCUGAGCAGCGGGACUGGAGCUCCAGUCUGGACCAGGAGGACCCACACAUUAAAGAGGACCACGAGGACCCAGAUAUCACUCCUGUGAAGAUGAUGAAGGAAAAAAACCUCAGUCCUCUCAGCUUCAUCAAAGACUAACUGAAUAGAUGGAAACAGAAACUGAUGGAGAGGACUGUGGAGGACCAGAACCAGACAGGAGAGAAAAUCCUCAUGGCUCCUCCUGGAUUUAAUAUUCAACAGGAUAGGAACCUCUUCUCCAGAACCCUGAAAUAAACCUUCCCGGUGAGUCUGAGUGUGAUACCCCAAUAAUUGGAGCAAACUCUGUGAUCCCCCUUUUUGAAAAUCAGAGCCACCACCCUGGUCUGCCAGUCACCAGGCACUGUGCUCGACAUCUACGUGAGAAAGAGACGUGUCAACCAAGACAGCCCAACAAUGUCCAGAGCCUUCAGUAUCUCAGUGAAACUCAUCCAUCCCUGGCAACUUGCUGCUGAAGUGCUUUGCGACUACCUCACAACCUCUGCCAGGCAUAUUGCUGAGUCUUCUCCUGAGUUUUCAAACUCUGCCUCCUCCAAUGAAGAGGUUUUGGUCGGAUUCAGGAGUUCCACCGCUUGACAAUAUCCCAGUCCAAUAUCCCUGAGUCAAGCCCGGCUUUCCUUAAAAUUAGCUUUCUUUGAAGGGAGUCUGCUGAGCUCAGCCUAAGAGAUAGAAAGAGGAGCUCAGACAACCGGGGAGACGCUGCUCCUUCGCGUUGAAGGGGUCCAGUUGAUCACGAUCCUCCUGGACACCUUUCUUUAGAGGUUUUACAGGUACGUCCAAGUGGAAAGAGGCUACAUGGUAGACCCAGAACAAGCUAAGAGACUAUAUCUUGAUGUAUCGUCUGCCCUCGAAACGCCUCUGGGUUCAUCAGGAAGAGCUGAAAAGCAUUGCUGAGGAGAAGGAAAUCUGGAAUACACUCCUAAGACUGCGGACCCCGCACGGUUCUAGUUAAGAGGACUAUAAUGGAUUGAUGGAUUUUUUAUUUCACUUCUUUGAUUGCAAAAACAAGAUGCUUUGACUAUUCUGACUCUUAUUAAACUUAAGACAAGCAUCAGACCUGGCAAAAAUAGUAUGUUAAUUCAUUCUCUGUUCCAACAAAGCUUUAAUCUGCGCUCCAUGAGAGUAUCCAAUGUCUUAUUUUUACAUAUUUAAAGCUUUGUGUUAUUGUGGUUAUAUAAACGUUUAAACCCUCAGUGGCGGCGCCGGUCGCCCAAUUAAGGAAGGUGUUACCUCCCUUUGUGCUUUUGAAACGUUUAAAGGCCAACAAAACUGGACUGAAGCAGGAUAUUUCAUGAUCAAAUCAUGUGUGAAUUUUAGAAAUAAUUAAAUCUCUUUCAAUGAAUUUUAACUUUUGGACAGAGCGUUACAAAGACGGUGAACUUU